UUGCUCAGAUAUGACGAUGGACAUUGCAAAGAGUGGCGAACGGGUGAGUAACACGUGGGAAACCUACCUCUUAGCAGGGGAUAACAUUUGGAAACAGAUGCUAAUACCGUAUAACAAUAGCAACCGCAGGGUUGCUACUUAAAAGAUGGUUCUGCUAUCACUAAGAGAUGGUCCCGCGGUGCAUUAGUUAGUUGGUGAGGUAAUGGCUCACCAAGACGAUGAUGCAUAGCCAAGUUGAGAGACUGAUCGGCCACAAUGGGACUGAGACACGGCCCAUACUCCUACGGGAGGCAGCAGUAGGGAAUCUUCCACAAUGGGCGAAAGCCUGAUGGAGCAACGCCGCGUGUGUGAUGAAGGGUUUCGGCUCGUAAAACACUGUUGUAAGAGAAGAAUGACAUUGAGAGUAACUGUUCAAUGUGUGACGGUAUCUUACCAGAAAGGAACGGCUAAAUACGUGCCAGCAGCCGCGGUAAUACGUAUGUUCCAAGCGUUAUCCGGAUUUAUUGGGCGUAAAGCGAGCGCAGACGGUUAUUUAAGUCUGAAGUGA
This 547-nucleotide ribosomal RNA is filed under the name Weissella cibaria. Its description in RNAcentral is "bacterial SSU rRNA". It matches the Rfam family "Bacterial small subunit ribosomal RNA", at positions 64 to 597 of the family's 1533-position model. The record is from RNAcentral. Lineage: Bacteria; Bacillati; Bacillota; Bacilli; Lactobacillales; Lactobacillaceae.